GACGAACGCUGGCGGCGUGCUUAACACAUGCAAGUCGAACGGAAAGGCCCUGCUUUUGUGGGGUGCUCGAGUGGCGAACGGGUGAGUAACACGUGAGUAACCUGCCCUUGACUUUGGGAUAACUUCAGGAAACUGGGGCUAAUACCGGAUAGGAGCUCCUGCUGCAUGGUGGGGGUUGGAAAGUUUCGGCGGUUGGGGCUGGACUCGCGGCUUAUCAGCUUGUUGGUGGGGUAGUGGCUUACCAAGGCUUUGACGGGUAGCCGGCCUGAGAGGGUGACCGGCCACAUUGGGACUGAGAUACGGCGCAGACUCCUACGGGAGGCAGCAGUGGGGAAUAUGGCACAAUGGGCGGAAGCCUGAUGCAGCAACGCCGCGUGCGGGAUGACGGCCUUCGGGUUGUAAACCGCUUUCGCCUGUGACGAAGCGUGAGUGACGGUAAUGGGUAAAGAAGCACCGGCUAACUACGUG
Molecule: ribosomal RNA, 468 nt
Filed under: uncultured bacterium
Lineage: Bacteria
Description: partial 16S ribosomal RNA
Rfam family: Bacterial small subunit ribosomal RNA
Source: RNAcentral